Molecule: ribosomal RNA, 254 nt
Filed under: uncultured bacterium
Lineage: Bacteria
Description: partial 16S ribosomal RNA
Rfam family: Bacterial small subunit ribosomal RNA
Source: RNAcentral
UACGUAGGGUGCGAGCGUUGUCCGGAAUUAUUGGGCGUAAAGAGCUUGUAGGUGGUUUGUCGCGUCUGCUGUGAAAAUCCGAGGCUCAACCUCGGACUUGCAGUGGGUACGGGCAGACUAGAGUGUGGUAGGGGAGACUGGAAUUCCUGGUGUAGCGGUGAAAUGCGCAGAUAUCAGGAGGAACACCGAUGGCGAAGGCAGGUCUCUGGGCCACUACUGACGCUGAGAAGCGAAAGCAUGGGGGAGCGAACAGG